RNAcentral lists this ribosomal RNA (275 nucleotides) under uncultured bacterium. Its description in RNAcentral is "partial 16S ribosomal RNA". It matches the Rfam family "Bacterial small subunit ribosomal RNA", at positions 523 to 796 of the family's 1533-position model. The record is from RNAcentral.
AUACGUAGGGGCCAAACGUUGUCCGGAUUUAUUGGGCGUAAAGGGCUCGUAGGCGGUUCAACAAGUCGGUCGUGAAAACCCGGGGCUCAACCCCGGGACGCCGGUCGAAACUGUUGUGACUAGGGUCCGGUAGAGGUGAGUGGAAUUCUCGGUGUAGCGGUGGAAUGCGCAGAUAUCGAGAGGAACACCAGUAGCGAAGGCGGCUCACUGGGCCGGUACCGACGCUGAGGAGCGAAAGCAUGGGGAGCAAACAGGAUUAGAAACCCUAGUAGUCC